GCCAGGAAAAAGUGUCCAAACGCCUCGCGGACUGCAGCGGGGGAAAUGUCCCUUAAAAGUGCGACGAAGUGGGGAAGAAGGUGUAAUUACUAUUAUCAGCAUCUAUAAAGCAUCAUGCAUUUGCUGGAGUACUUCCUAGCACUGACCUCCUUCCUUCUGCGUUGUUCUUACUGGAUCUUUCUAUCAGCCAACAAUAUGGAAGUACCAAUACAAGGUCAAAUCAUUCCUGGAUUCAUCUGGAGUUACUGAACAGUUAAAUCAUUGGAAGUUUGGGUGAUACCUUUUCUAUAUGGAUUACAAUUUGAUCUCUGGGAAUUCUCCACCGUAAAAAAGGGUUGUUGCUAAUAUUAAUCAUCUUCAGAUACGAGAACCAAUGUGGAAGCAACUCAGCAUAUGGAUGUUACAGCCAAUCUCAGAUAAGAUGGAAGAGGCAAGUUCUGUUCAACAAUGUGCUAACAUCGGCAGAGCUGAAGUGGGGAGCUGGAGAGGUACCAAAAUAUUGGAUAGGAAACCGAAUGCUUUUUCAAAUCAAGUACCUCUGAGUGACCCUAGACAGUUGGUGAGAAAGAGUUUGUCACCAACAUAAAUAAUUGGAAAGAAGUGUUAGAUGCGUUUGAAGCAACCCAGAGAUUCCCUUGUGAAGCUGUUGAGAAGAGACUAGAGUGUGAAGAAAAGAAGCUUGCUUGGUGUCCAAGAUAAAAUAAGGGAUGGAUCUUAGCACUACAGAUGGAAACUGCAGCAGCAAAUAACAGAACCAGAAGAGAUACUUUUUCAUGUGGAUUCAUACGGAAAGGAUGUCAGACUCUUGCUAUUUGGAAACCCAUGCCCACCUCUGACUUCCACUCAAAAUUGCUUUCCUCACAGUCUGACUGCGAGAGUUGUGAAACAUUGGGAUGUGCUUCUGAGGUGGGCUGUGGAAUGCCAUUACCCUCAGGUGACUGCAGAUGUGUUAACCAGCAUGUUCGCGUAGGAGACUUUCUGGAUGGGGAAGAUUUCCAGGUGUGA
RNAcentral lists this long non-coding RNA (1005 nucleotides) under Macaca mulatta (Rhesus monkey). Its description in RNAcentral is "lncRNA (ENSMMUG00000063635.1)". The record is from RNAcentral. Lineage: Eukaryota; Metazoa; Chordata; Mammalia; Primates; Cercopithecidae.